UCUCUACGCCUUCACAUCCAGCAAUUAAAAGCGUCUCAGAGAGGAACGGGAGGUUCUCCACCACCUUAAUGCUAUCCACAUCUCUUAAGUGGAGCUCCUUCAAGCUGGUGGCCUCCAGUCCAAGCUGCCGUGGGAGAGCUCUCAGAUUGGGGCAGCAUUUAAGUGCCAACGCUUCCAAACGUGGUAGCAGCUGCAUCCUUGGAGGUGGGGCUUCCCCCUUUUGUUGGUUUGGAGCAACUCCAUCCUUACCUGGUGCUGCUGCUGUCGCUUCUUCUUCUUCUUCAACAACAAAGGUCCACUCCUCCCAGUUGGGCAUAUCCUCGAUCAGCAACAUUUCAAGCUUGGGGAAAGCAACUGCCUCUGCAGAUCCGGGAUUACCCACCCCGUAGCCAACAAAUUCGGAUCCAAUCUUGGUGACUGCAGUGGCUUCCUCGAUUCUCAGAUAUUUCAGGUUGGGGAGCUGUCCGAUUGGAGGAAGAUGCACACAUGAUUUGCAACGAAGAAGUGUCAAACACAUCAAUGAUGGAAAAUGUGUAGCAGUAUCAAGCCAGGAACAAUGAAUCUGGGCUACAAAGAGAUGCUCUCUCCAAUUUAUUCAUAUCAAGCUUCCUCAGCUCAAAAAGAGGGCCCAGCUCUUCUAGGCUCCAUCCAUCUUGCGUUCUGGCACUAUUAUCACUGCCACCACCAACCGGAAAUCCUUCAAUAUCAUUCAGGAGCUUCAAUUUAGCAAUCCCUUUUGGAACCUGGUUUAUUGGUGUUCCAGCAAGGCCAAGGCGCCUUAAGUUGCACAACCGAGUGAUUCCUAAAGGGAGACUAUGCAAAGCAUGGCACCCCUGCAAGUUCAAUAUCUGAAGGUUUUCUAGUGAACCAAUAGACUCAGGAAGACAAGAUAUGUCAGUUCUAUCAAGAUCAAGUAACCGUAGAUGGAUCAAUCUUCCAACGCAGUUUGGAAUACUUUGUAUAACUGACCCAGUUAGAUCCAAAACUCGAAUAUAUGGAAGUCUUCUAAAUAUUGUAUUA
Panicum hallii is the source of this 1020-nucleotide long non-coding RNA. RefSeq lists it as uncharacterized. The transcript is spliced from 2 exons. Lineage: Eukaryota; Viridiplantae; Streptophyta; Magnoliopsida; Poales; Poaceae. The record is from RefSeq and is a predicted model, not a curated record.